CCUACGGGAGGCAGCAGUGGGGAAUAUUGCGCAAUGGGCGAACGCCUGACGCAGCGACGCCGCGUGAGGGAUGAAGGUCUUCGGAUCGUAAACCUCUGUCAGCAGGGAAGAACGGUCACUGUGCUAAUCAGCCGUGAAUUGACGGUACCUGCAAAGGAAGCACCGGCUAACUCCGUGCCAGUAGCCGCGGUAAUACGGAGGGUGCGAGCGUUAAUCGGAAUUACUGGGCGUAAAGCGCUCGUAGGCGGUAUGUCAAGUCAAGGGUGAAAUCCCCGCGCUCAACGUGGGAACUGCCUUUGAAAAUGGCAAACUGGAGUGUGUGAGGGGAUAGUGGAAUUCCAGGUGUAGGAGUGAAAUCCGUAGAUAUCUGGAGGAACAUCAGUGGCGAAGGCGACUAUCUGGCACAUAACUGACGCUGAGGAGCGAAAGCGUGGGUAGCAAACAGGAUUAGAUACCCCAGUAGUC
This 465-nucleotide ribosomal RNA is filed under the name uncultured bacterium. RNAcentral's name for it is "partial 16S ribosomal RNA". It matches the Rfam family "Bacterial small subunit ribosomal RNA", at positions 338 to 795 of the family's 1533-position model. The record is from RNAcentral.